RNAcentral lists this ribosomal RNA (429 nucleotides) under Triticum aestivum (bread wheat). RNAcentral's name for it is "partial small subunit ribosomal RNA". The record is from RNAcentral. Lineage: Eukaryota; Viridiplantae; Streptophyta; Magnoliopsida; Poales; Poaceae.
AUGCCGCCAACACCACCCCCUGUGGUUCCGACUCCAGCACCGACCCAUGUCUCUCCAACGCUAACCCCGGUGGCCCCAACACCGACCCCUGUGAUGCCGCCAACACACACCCCUGUGACUCCGACGCCAACCCCGGCCCCGGCCCCAGGCCUGGCGACACCGACUGGCAAGUGCCCUGUUGAUACGCUGAAGCUGCUGGCGUGCGUGGAUGUGCUCAAUGGGCUGUUGCACGCGGUGAUCGGCAAUAGCACCAGCGAUACAUGCUGCCCGCUGCUGUCUGGCGUGGCCGACCUCGACGCCGCUCUCUGCCUUUGCACCACCAUCAAGGUCAAGGCCCUCAACGUCAGCCUCGUGCUGCCCAUCGCCAUCGAGGUGCUCGUCAACCAGUGCGGCAAGAGAGUGCCGGACGGCUUCCACUGCCCGAACUAA